RNAcentral lists this long non-coding RNA (1330 nucleotides) under Marmota monax (woodchuck). Lineage: Eukaryota; Metazoa; Chordata; Mammalia; Rodentia; Sciuridae. The record is from RNAcentral.
AUUAAAAUAAUAUUUUGCAAUUUGUCAUGUAAUAGCUUUGACAUGGAGAAUUGGGCCACAGUUUUAAAUGAAACAAAUUUUUCAAAUUGUGAGCUAGAAUGGUGAGUUCUUAACAUCUGAAGUGUAAAAUAAUCUAUGUUUCAUUGGGGUAAAUUGGAUAUCUGAUUGAUUCCUCUGAUAAAAGUAAGUAGGUUUUUAUAGAUCUUUACUAAACUUUGAACAUUUUUAUUAAGAUGUAAUUGAUGCAAGAAGCAUAUUUUAUGUUUGACAAAAGUAUUUACCUGUGAAACUAUAAUCACAAUCAAUAUAAUUACAUAUUCAUCCCCCACAAAAGAUUCCUCAUUCCCGUUUUUAAUCCUUUCCUUCCUGCAAAAUUGACUGUCAGAACUUGUCCAGAGGCAAAUAAUAAUGCCCCAUCCCUAGGCAAGUACUGAUUAUCCUAGAUUAGUUUAUAUUUUUUACAAUUUUAUAUAAAUGGAAUAAUAAUGUUUUUAUUUUUUUAAUUUCCAUCAGCAUAACUAUUUGAAGAUUUAUUUAUGUUAUUGCAAAUAUUAGUAGUACAUUCCUGUAAAUUAGUACUAUUUUUGCCUGGCUAUAAUAAUUAGUUUAUCCACUCAUCUGUUGAUGAAGUGGGGUUGUUUCCAACUUUUGGCUCUUACAAAUAAAGUUACAUGAACAUUCACAUACAAGUCUUUGUAUGAACAUAUGGUUUCAUUUCUUUUGGGUAAAUAGUAAGAGUGUAGUGUCUGGUUCAUAUGUUUUAAAUUUUUAAGAGAUUCCACAAUGUUUUCCAAAGUAGUUAUGCGGUAUUAUAUUCCCUGCAUCAGUUAAUAAAAAUUCCAUUUGCUCCACAUCCUCUCUAACACUUGAUGUGGUCAAUUUUAAUUAGGUGUGUAAUAUAUUUGGUGUUAGAGUUUGUAUGUAGUCCAGUAUAUGAAUCAAAGUUCACUUUUUUUAAUGUGGUAAACAAUCUUAGUGAUUUAGCACCAUUUGUUAAAAGGACUGUCCUCCACUGAAUUCUUUUUGCACCUUUGCAAAGUCAUCUGAUCAUCAAUCAACAGUUCAGUUUUUUAAAUUUAACUCAUAUGUUUGUCUUUAUACUAAUACCAUACUAUCUUGAUGACUAUAAUUUUCUGUAAAUGAACUAUUGUAAUUAGGUUAGAAUCCUCCUAACUAUAUUAAUCUUUUUCAGGGUUGCCUUGGCUAUUUUAGAUUCCUUGUAUUUCCAUUGUAUUUUAGAAUCAACUUGUUGGUUUCUACAAAAACAGGAAGUUUGAUUAGACUUGUAUUAAAUCUGCAAAUUAGAUUUACAGAGAAUUAACAUCUCAAC